AACUAAUCUAUGAUGAUAGAAAUCAAGCAUUGGAAUAACCACUUUGUGUGCAUUCUCUGAUGUAAUGAUCAACUGCUGGGAGGUGGUGCACCCCGCACAGGUGGCAUACUACGCCAAGCAGACACAGCGCUCUCUACUGCUUAUCCUGGACCUGGCUUCAAAAUCCUCUCAACACAGUGCUCUGGAGAACUACUAGUCAAAGAUCAGAGCAGGCAUGGCUUUAAACCUUUCUUCAGGAAGAGAAGAUUCAUGGGGCUUAUUGAAGGAAGCUAGAAGAACCCAAGGUAGAGACUGCUAAUACUGACCAAUAUAUCCAAAUCAGCCUCUUCCUCGGCAUCUUGUCCUGCCUCCCUUGCAGUUAGAUGAGGCCACAUGAUUGAGUUCUGGCCGAUGAACCAUCAGUGGAAGUGGGCAAUCCUUUUCUUUCCCUAUCUUCUGAGUGACUGGAGACUUUGAAGAGCUAGGGGGACAUCAGUCACAGGAUGGAUGGAAGUUGGCCUUCUGAAGGGCUGAAUGGAGUAGCACCUCCCCGAGAGCCCACCAACCUACCCCCUGCUUUGAAGUAUAAUUUGAGAAAUGUGGGUCUAUGAGGCCACUGAGAUGGGGAGCUAUUUGUUCAACAGUUCAUCUGCACACACCAAUAAAGGCUGACU
Zalophus californianus (California sea lion) is the source of this 653-nucleotide long non-coding RNA. RefSeq lists it as uncharacterized. The record is from RefSeq and is a predicted model, not a curated record. NCBI's taxonomy places the organism in Eukaryota, Metazoa, Chordata, Mammalia, Carnivora, Otariidae. The transcript is spliced from 3 exons.